Molecule: small nuclear RNA, 145 nt
Filed under: Carlito syrichta (Philippine tarsier)
Lineage: Eukaryota; Metazoa; Chordata; Mammalia; Primates; Tarsiidae
Description: U12 minor spliceosomal RNA (ENSTSYG00000026370.1)
Rfam family: U12 minor spliceosomal RNA
About the family: Although the U12 sequence is very divergent from that of U2, the two are functionally analogous.
Source: RNAcentral
AAAAAAAAAAAAGAAAAGAAAAGAACGAUUCAGGGUGAUACCCAUAUCCUCACUGCUAAUGUGAGAUGAAUUUUUGAGUGGGUAAAAGCUGCCCCUGAGGUGACCCACCUACUUUGUGGGAUGCCUGGGAACCACAAUCUGCCUG